This is a long non-coding RNA of Thunnus maccoyii (southern bluefin tuna), 1016 nucleotides long. RefSeq lists it as uncharacterized. The record is from RefSeq and is a predicted model, not a curated record. NCBI's taxonomy places the organism in Eukaryota, Metazoa, Chordata, Actinopteri, Scombriformes, Scombridae. The transcript has 4 exons.
CGCACAGAGGACCAUGAAAGCAUUGCACACCGAUACUGUGCCAAAGCUUACUUCUUGAAGUCUUCCAACGCUGAUAUAAACAGUUUGCUGGGUGGCAGUCAGAUGUCGGCUCACAGAGAACAGGUCUGAAUGAGACAGCAGGUGUUGUGAAAGUUCUAGGGAAGAGGGGGCUUAGAUACUGGCAGGUGGAGAAUGAGGCGGCAUAUAAACUUGAAGACAACGGCAUAGGUCAUGGCAAUUUUUAAAGCUCAUACUUUCACUGGGAAAGUAUGAUGUCUGCUUUAAAGAGCAUCUUAGUAGUUGCAUUUGGAUGAGCAAAAGAUUGCAUCAGUCUGGUGGGAAAAGAAGCAUAGGUUCUCUCAUCACCCCACUCUCAAAAACUACAGUAAACUCAGUAAUAGAUACAAUAAGGCAUCUAAUUCUAAUUCAUACUCAAUCUGGUGCUGGCAGACACAACCCAGAUCGUCAUUGAAAGUGGGUUACUGUUUGCUCUCCAUAAUGAUAUCGUGAUGUUCAUCAAGGAGUCAUACCAACAAAUGAACCUGUGAGAAAAGUCAGGCCAUGAGACACAGAGACACAGACUCCAAUCAGUGAGACAUGCUGGUGGGCCAAGCACGAAGCCCUGAAGAAAAUGUUUGGCUCCUUUGGAAAACCUGAAGAUGGUCUACACGUUGAUGUACUGUUCACUCUGUCAGCCAUACAAGAACAGGCAACAGUGAAACCAAGUGUGCAUGUCAAAGCCAGGGGAUACGCAGAGGCCUUGCUCAGUUUGCCUCAUCCACCACACCUCUUGGGCCAAGAAGCCCUUUUUGACAAGACAUUUCACAGUCCAAAGCAGAGAGUCCUGUCCAGCCGUGACUGAAGAUGUUCCCCCAGACGCUCCAAGGAGACCGGAUGAGGUCGUUUAGUGACAAAUAGUACCAGUCCUAUAAAUGAUCGUCUAUGGAACACAAUCUACACACACAAUCCACACAGGACAUAGAAUUUCUACCCAUCUGUCACCACAACCUGAUUCA